UACGUAGGGUGCAAGCGUUAAUCGGAAUUACUGGGCGUAAAGGGUUCGUAGGUGGCCAACUAAGUCAGACGUGAAAUCCCUCGGCUUAACCGGGGAACUGCGUCUGAUACUGGAUGGCUUGAGUUUGGGAGAGGGACGCGGAAUUCCAGGUGUAGCGGUGAAAUGCGUAGAUAUCUGGAGGAACACCGGUGGCGAAGGCGGCGUCCUGGACCAAUACUGACACUGAGUGAGCGAAAGCCAGGGGAGCAAACGGG
RNAcentral lists this ribosomal RNA (254 nucleotides) under uncultured bacterium. Its description in RNAcentral is "partial 16S ribosomal RNA". It matches the Rfam family "Bacterial small subunit ribosomal RNA", at positions 524 to 776 of the family's 1533-position model. The record is from RNAcentral.